RNAcentral lists this ribosomal RNA (350 nucleotides) under uncultured bacterium. RNAcentral describes it as "bacterial SSU rRNA". It matches the Rfam family "Bacterial small subunit ribosomal RNA", at positions 355 to 697 of the family's 1533-position model. The record is from RNAcentral.
UAGGGAAUAUUGGACAAUGAGCGAAAGCUUGAUCCAGCCAUGCCACGUGUGUGAUGACGGCCUUCGGGUUGUAAAGCACUUUAGGUAAUGAGGAAAAAUUAGAUGUUAAUACCACCUAAUCAUGACGUUAAUUACAGAAUAAGCACCGGCUAAAUCCGUGCCAGCAGCCGCGGUAAUACGGAUGGUGCAAGCGUUAAUCGGAAUUACUGGGCGUAAAGCGCGCGUAGGUGGCACACCAAGUUAGAUGUGAAAUCCCAGGGCUUAACCUUGGAACUGCAUCUAAAACUGGUGAGCUAGAGUAUUAGAGAGGAAAGUAGAAUUCUUAGUGUAGCGGUGGAAUGCGUAGAUAU